This 988-nucleotide long non-coding RNA is filed under the name Phasianus colchicus (ring-necked pheasant). RNAcentral's name for it is "lncRNA (ENSPCLG00000015562.1)". The record is from RNAcentral. Lineage: Eukaryota; Metazoa; Chordata; Aves; Galliformes; Phasianidae.
CCCAGUGAUACUUUGGCUUAUGACAAGUUCCAAAAACAUCACAAAACUCAUACCAAGCACCAGGUGACAGCGGAGAGCAGCAACAAUGCUUACCCAUAGGAGAAAAACAGCCAAAGUAGCAGCUGCUGUUGAGGAGAGGAAAAGAAGUUCUGCAACAACACAGCUCUUUCAAAGAUACCAAGACAAAAAUAUAGUAGAAACAUGUAAAGUAGAAGGAUUGAGGCUUGACCACCCCCAGAAUACAAUGUACUUUAUAACUGUAUGAACAACAACAAUAGUACAAAAUAAUUUUCAUGUAUGGCAUAUUUUCUGGAGACUAAAUCAACAGGCAAGUGUUCUACCUUGGGUUACAUCGCACCCUGUUGACUGCCGGGAUGAGAGCAGAUUUGGAUAACAGGCAAUGUGGACUGCAGAUGUGCAGUUCCCUCUGCACAGAGCUACUGUUGAUUGCACAUGGGAAGGUUCAUCUUCCUCUUUUGUAUUUCCUGUCUGAGAAAGGACUCUCAGAGAAGUCCAGCACAAAAAUAAUGGGGAAUGUUUCAAGGAGGACAAACAGGCUACAGACUUUCUGAGAAGUGGAAGAUGAAGCCACUGGAAGAUUGUAGGAUGAAUGGACUGGAGGACUCUUUUGUGCAAUUAGAUGGCACCCCUAAAGAAAGGCCUUACUUCCUGUAGUUCUGGUACUGGGUUGAAUAUUAAAUGCAUUGGCACUGCAGUAUGAUUACCAAAAAAAUUUGAAAAGCAAAAUGAAUGGCAGUUCUUCCUCUCUCUAAUUAAAAAAGAUAGUUACAGCAAUUUAUUGUCAGGAUUAAUGCAGUAUCAACCAGGCAGAUGUGGUCUAUUAAACAGCUCUGUUUUGCCAAAAGAAAUUCAUUCAGCACAACUGGAUUUUAGAUUGCAUCUAAACAUCUGUGUCUAAAUAUCUAUAAUUUUAUGACAUUUUUUCCAUUCCCUUUUCUAGAUGUUUUAUUACUAGAGGGUAUUAUAG